This 4608-nucleotide long non-coding RNA is filed under the name Fragaria vesca (wild strawberry). Its description in RNAcentral is "long non-coding RNA (FVES_LNC002360)". The record is from RNAcentral. Lineage: Eukaryota; Viridiplantae; Streptophyta; Magnoliopsida; Rosales; Rosaceae.
AGGAUAGGAUUUUGGUGUGGGAGCUUUUCUAUUCAACUAAGGGAAUUUGUGAUCAUCUUUACGUUUGAUCUUGGAGUGUGAAGAAAAGAUGUUGCAGCUCCCAAGUAUAAAUAGGCCAUGAAGCAUGCAUUGUAAAUUAAUUUCCAGCAAUUUUAUUUGACUUAAAAGGCCAAACAUUAAAUUUGAGUGAUAGUCUAGCUAGUUAGGGUGAUUGUUCACAAAGAAAACCAAAUAGUAAGAGGGGUAAAAGAAAAAUCAGCUAGUGCAUGAAUCUAUAUAUGAGGUAUACCUUAUAUAUGUAUUGACAUGAAUCUAUAGAUACACAAAUAUUUAUAUAUGUAUAUAUAGAUAUAUAUCUACUCAAGCUAAUAAGUAAAGGAAUAUGAUGUUUCCUUUCUUAAGAUCUUGUAAAUGUGUUAGUAAUAUUUAAGAUUAGAAUAGUAUGCAUGAUAAAAGCAAUACUAACACAAAUCUUAAAUUCAAUCACGAGUAUCGAUUGUAUGUAAGAAAUACGGGUUAAGGUAUUUAAGUAGUUUACUUAAAUUCUAAUACUUAAUAAAAAUACCUAUCUUGUAAGUAUGAUACUUGGAGUCAUUGGCUUCUAAAAUGAAUAUUUUAGAUGAUAUUUGGAUUACUAUCUAAGGUUAAAGAGCCUUAGUGUGCUCUAUAAUUUGUGCUAAGUUUCGAGGUACUACAUAGACGCCGCCACGAAAUGGCGAAGCUGCUGCCUGCUUUCAGUCAGUUUUAGGUGAGUUUUGCUCUCUCCUUCUUCUACAGAUGUUUAUACCUCUUUGGUGACCUAAGGAUCAAGUUUGGGCGCCAGAAUUUGCAGAUUUGAAGUUUGGAUUCUGAGUGGUGUUCGGGGCACUUUCCAGCCAAUUUCAGCCAAACUGGUUGAAACCUCAGGUAUUAAAGUUGUUCAUCUUGCUCUAAUUUACAAGUUUAUUGUUGGGAGUUUCCCCAAAUUUUGAAGUUGGUGGCGGCGUGUGGGGCCCACUCGCCGCCAUCUGUGGUUCGUGGACACGCGUCUAGGCAGUAUGAGUGGGUUUGGUUGCUGUGUUAGCUAGUUUGUGUAGUUGUGAGUGUGUUGUUGUGUGAUAAGGCUAAGUGUUGAUUAGGUAGUGCAUCUUAUGUGCUAUGUUAAUCAUUGUUGUUUGUUAGGUUGUAAACUUUGAAAGUUUGAACUUGGAGGCAGCAUGGAUAGGUUGUUGAGUGUCCGACGACCUUGGGAGGUCUCGGAAGAAGGAUUGUCCUCCUUUGGGCAACCUUUAGGCUAAUGUUUGGUUAAGGGUGCUUUGAUCUUUUGUUGAGUAGCUUCUAAGGAUGACUUUGUGUUAUUUAGGAACUUGUGGAGUCAAUUUUGAGCUUGGCUCUUGUGUUGUUAUUGAAAACGCAACGAGAGUAUUUAGAUGAGUAAAUCUCACCAAGGUUCACAUUUGGACCAAAUUAUUAUGGUCAUUUUGAUGAUGAUGUUGAAUUAAAGAAUAUGCUGUUGUUUGUUUUUAAAUAUAUAAGUUUGAUCGUCAAUGGCUCAUAGGUAAAGAUAAAAUAAGUUUUCCUAUUAUAUGAUUAUUUUUAAUGUUCAUGUGAUCAUAAUAUUGUUGGUUCUUGAUAAAUUAUUCUUGUGGGAAUAUCUAUGUUUGUUCAUAUAAAUAUAUCUAUGUGGAAUAAUAUAAUUUUUAUGAUGUGCUCUUUGUGUUGUUGAUGAUGAUAUUAUUAUGUUGUGAUUCGUUGUUUAGAUAGUCAAACCGGGUUCCAAGCCUUUAAUCGGGUGAUUGGCUGCGGUUACGAUGAUUCUACUCUAUUGUGAAUUGUUGUUUAGAUAGUUAAACCGGGUUUCAAGCAAGCCUUUAACUGGUGAUUGGUUACGGUUAUGAUGCUAUUAUUAUUUUGUGAUUUGAUAUUGAACAGUCAAACUGGGUUUCAAGUCUUUGGCCGGGUGAUUGGUUAUGGUUAGGAAAAGAGCUCUAGUCCGUCUGUCGGUGUAGGUCAUGAGAGGUACCUUAAGGUAUCUGGGACUCAUGGGUACAUAAAUUGUUGUAGGCCAUGAGAGGUACUUAUUAGUAUUUGAGACUCAUGUGUACAUGUAUUUGUUGUAGGUCAUGGGAGAUACAUUAUUGGUAUCUGAGACUCAUGGGUACAUGUUAUUUGUAAAAUUGUUGGAUUUGUGGAAUUAAUUAUUGUUCUUAAUUGUUUAUGUGUUUUAUUUGGAUGUUAGAAAUAUUGAGUUAUUUUUUGGAGUUACUCAUUCAGAUUUUUUAGCUUACUGGGCCGGUGCACCAAUUCAUACUGUAGGGGUUAAACCUGCAGGUAAUGAUCAUCAGGGUUGAGGCAGAGACAUAACAGCUGGGUUUUAGAUGAUGUAUAUUUAUUUGUAUAUUAUGACAAUUGUUUUUAAGCUCAUGUGAGCGACUUUAUUUUACUAAAUUUUUGAAGUUGAUGUAAUUAAUGAUAUAUAAUGUUUAACUCAGUUGAUGAGUUAAAGUGUUGAAAUUUACAUUUCCAGCAUUCAAAUUUAGUCUGGAAGUUGUUGAACAGGUUUUGGGGGUGAUUUUUUGAGUUAUAUCAUACCCAAAUUUUGAAAAUUAUCCUUCGAAAAUUGGGGUGUGACAAUUUGGUAUCAUAGCGUAGGUUUGCAUAUUUGGUGAUAAUCAGUACUUUGGAGUGAUGACCCGACUGCAGCGGAUCACCAUUAUAUGCUCUUCGGUACUGAUAUGUCAUUGGGUAUGCUGGAGUAGGGUGUUGUCUUGAGCAUUAGGUUGCUAGGAUAUAGGUUGCCUCAGUAGUUGAAGUGCGGGAGACUUGAGUAAGAUGUUUUGAGUUUUAGUCUUUAAGGAAUAAGAACCUUUAGAUUGAACUUUGGUUUGACUUCACAGAUUUUGAUUGUGGAAGUCUGUGUGGUUUUGAUGACAUGGUCAUUACGUCUGUUGUUUGUGAUUUAAACUUUUGUUCAAGUCUUAUGCAAGUGUUAACUUAGUGUUGUUUUGCUUCACAAAUGAUGGUCCUCUUGGGGGGUUAAUUUGGGAAAUCAGAGGAUGAUUUUCCACUUAAAGAAUUCUAUUUUAGGAAUGGGAAAAAGAACAACCCCCUCUGCCUAUUAUCAAGGCAGUGAACCCGCCUCAUCUAGUGAGGUUAAUUUGGGAGAUUACAAGACUUAGGGUGGUGACCUUGACGGGUAGUACAAAUUGUUCACUGAUUUGUGGAUCGAUGACAUGUAAACCUACUUAUGUGGUCAAUUGUACUGGCAUUAGAAUAAGAGAUGAUUGUGUUCUCUUAAGGGUAUGGUUCAGACGGUGGUGGAAUUUUGUGCCAAGGUCUAAGGGUAUGUUAUCCAUGUCACAUGAGGGUGUUUACAUAACUCUUCUAGAAGCAUACGCCUAUUUGUGGUGUGGUCAAUUGUACUGGCAUUGGAAUAGGAGAUGAUUGUGUUCUCUUAAGGGUAUGGUUCAGACGGUGGUGGAAUUUUGUGCCAAGGUCUAAGGGUAUGUUCUCCAUGUCACAAGAGGGUUUGCAUAACUUUUCUAGAAGCAUACGCCUAUUUGUUUUAACGUUGGGGAUUAACUUUGUUACUCUGGUUUAGAGGACUAAGAUUAUUGAGAUUUGUAGUUGGGUAUUUAGUAUUGCUAAUGAUCAUUUAUUAAUAUUGUGUUUCAUGUUAAAUUACUGUGAUUCUAAUUCGAUUAUUUUUUUACCACAUUUUUUUAUUUUCUGCUGGUCUGGGCUGGUCUAAAUAUACCCGGUCUGGUCUCGGUCCCCAAUUUUGAGAAAGACUUCAAGCCCGAAAGCCCGAUCUAGGUAUGUGUCACUCAACAACAAUUGGAUAAUUUUAGCAGUUCUACGUUAGUCAAAUAUGACUCAAGUCAAACCCUGAACUCAAAACACUCAGACUCGACUUGAAACGCGCACAGACGCUCCUCUACCUCUCGACGCCGCCUGCGCCUCUGCUUCUCGACGCCGCCUGCGUGCCUCUCGAUCGCGAGUCUCGACGCCGCCUGCGCACCUCUCUAACGCGAGGCUCUCUUCAUCUCUUCCUCUCAACGUGACGCCUCAGUCCUCACCAGAAACCAAAUCGCCCACCUCCUCCGGUAAGCCUUCUGAUCAUUCAAUCAUUCCCUAUUCGCUUCAGUUUAAAUCGAUUGUGAUUGUGGUUUUACUGGUUUUCCAAUCGAUUCAUUUUUUUGGUUGUUGUUGUUGUUACUUGUUAUAAUGCAUAGCUAUUAACUCGAUUUCGUCUGUUACUGUUGCGUAGUAAAUCCUAAUUUAUGCUGCUGGUUGUGUACUUGUGGCAGGUUUGAUGUCGACGUCUUCUUCACAAUACGGCUGUCAUUCUACCCUAUAAUAAAAGAGCAAAAACCCUGUGUUUGUUACAUGGGAUUAAGGGGGUUUGGACUAACUUCUGUAAGAAACUAUGACUUGUCCUACGUUUGGUGAAGCAAGGGACUCAAUUAAAUAAGCAUACGCUGUCCCCGUGUUCGCUGCCGACCUGCUUACACAGAGACACCAAAUUUGGGGCGCAACGCAUUCGUCUCUUCUCAGUCGUUCUUCCUCGUUGCAUCCACUUGCUUUGCUUUAACUCGCUGCUCCAGGUGUGAUUUCUCUCUCUCUCUC